GACGAACGCUGGCGGCGUGCUUAACACAUGCAAGUCGAACGAAGUGGCGCACGGGUGAGUAACGCGUAAUCAACCUGCCCUUCAGAGGGGGAUAACCGUUGGAAACGACUGCUUAUACCGCAUACUGAGGGAGGGGAUUUCGUUUGAUUAGCUAGUUGUAGGGGUAACGGCCCACCAAGGCGAUGAUCAGUAGCCGGUCUGAGAGGAUGAGCGGCAAAAUUGGGACUGAGACACGGCCCAGACUCCGACGGGAGGCAGCAGUGGGGAAUCUUCCGAAAUGGACGAAAGUCUGACGGAGCAACGCCGCGGGAGUGAUGACGGCCUUCGGGUUGUAAAGCUCUGUUAAUCGGGACGCGGUACCGGAAUAGAAAGCCACGGCUAACUACGUGCCAGCAGCCGCGGUAAUUC
RNAcentral lists this ribosomal RNA (408 nucleotides) under uncultured bacterium. RNAcentral describes it as "partial 16S ribosomal RNA". It matches the Rfam family "Bacterial small subunit ribosomal RNA", at positions 28 to 526 of the family's 1533-position model. The record is from RNAcentral.